GUGCACGCUGGCGGCGUGCCUCAUACAUGCAAGUCGAGCGAACAGAUAAGGAGCUUGCUCCUUUGAAGUUAGCGGCGGACGGGUGAGUAACACGUGGGUAACCUACCUAUAAGACUGGGAUAACUUCGGGAAACCGGAGCUAAUACCGGAUAACAUUUAGAACCGCAUGGUUCUAAAGUGAAAGAUGGUUUUGCUAUCACUUAUAGAUGGACCCGCGCCGUAUUAGCUAGUUGGUAAGGUAACGGCUUACCAAGGCGACGAUACGUAGCCGACCUGAGAGGGUGAUCGGCCACACUGGAACUGAGAAACGGUCCAGACUCCUACGGGAGGCAGCAGUAGGGAAUCUUCCGCAAUGGGCGAAAGCCUGACGGAGCAACGCCGCGUGAGUGAUGAAGGGGUUCGGCUCGUAAAACUCUGUUAUUAGGGAAGAACAAAUGUGUAAGUAACUGUGCACAUAUUGACGGUACCUAAUCAGAAAGCCACGGCUAACUACGUG
RNAcentral lists this ribosomal RNA (496 nucleotides) under uncultured bacterium. RNAcentral describes it as "partial 16S ribosomal RNA". It matches the Rfam family "Bacterial small subunit ribosomal RNA", at positions 29 to 507 of the family's 1533-position model. The record is from RNAcentral.